Molecule: ribosomal RNA, 369 nt
Filed under: uncultured organism
Description: partial 16S ribosomal RNA
Rfam family: Bacterial small subunit ribosomal RNA
Source: RNAcentral
GGAGGGUGCGAGCGUUAAUCGGAUUUACUGGGCGUAAAGGGCGCGUAGGUGGUUAUCUAAGUUAGAUGUGAAAUAUCGAGGCUUAACCUUGAGGAGUGAUUUAAAACUGGGUAACUAGAGUUCAGUAGAGGGGAGUGGAAUUUCUGGUGUAGCGGUGAAAUGCGUAGAUAUCAGAAGGAACACCGGUGGCGAAGGCGACUUCCUGGACUGAGACUGACACUGAGGCGCGAAAGCGUGGGGAGCGAACAGGAUUAGAUACCCUGGUAGUCCACGCUGUAAACGAUGAAUACUAGCCCGUUUGUGACGUAUGUUGUGAGUGGCGCAGCUAACGCAUUAAGUAUUCCGCCUGGGGAUACGGCCGCAAGGCUA